Molecule: ribosomal RNA, 459 nt
Filed under: uncultured bacterium
Lineage: Bacteria
Description: partial 16S ribosomal RNA
Rfam family: Bacterial small subunit ribosomal RNA
Source: RNAcentral
CCUACGAGGGGCAGCAGUGAGGAAUAUUGGUCAAUGGGCGAGAGCCUGAACCAGCCAAGUCGCGUGAGGGAAGACGGUCCUAUGGAUUGUAAACCUCUUUUGCCGGGGAGCAAAAAGCGGUACGUGUACCGCAUCGAGAGUACCCGGAGAAAAAGCAUCGGCUAACUCCGUUCCAGCAGCCGCGGUAAUACGGAGGAUGCGAGCGUUAUCCGGAUUUGUUGGGUUUAAAGGGGUCUAAGACGGCGAGUUAAGUCAGCGGUAAAAUUGCGGGGCUCAAACCCGACGAGCCGGUGAAACUGGCUUGAUAGAGUGGGCGAGAAGUAUGCGGAAGGCGUGGGGUAGCGGUGAAAUGCAUAGAUAUCACGCAGAACUCCGAUUGCGAAGGCAGCAUACCGGCGCCCAACGGACGCUCAGGCACGAAAGCGUGGGUAUCGAACAGGAUUAGAUACCCCAGUAGUC